UUAGGUCUUUAAAUUCAAGAAUUUGGCGGUAAUUUAGUCUUUUCAGAGGAACCUGUUUUUUAAUCGAUAAACCACGAAAAAUCUUAUUUACUUUAAUAAAUAACUAGUCUGUAUACCGUCAUUAUCAGAUAAUAUUUAAAGAUUUAUUGUUAAACUUUAAAUAAUAAUAAAAAUUAGAUCAAGGUGCAGCUUAUAAGUAAGUUAAAAUGGGUUACAAUUAAGUAGAUGUAAAAUGAAAUAGGAUUUGAAAUAUUUCUAGGAAGGGGGAUUUGAUUGUAAUUUAAAAUUAAUAAGAUAAAAAGAUAUAAGCUCUAAAUUAUGUACAUAUCGCCCGUCGC
Molecule: ribosomal RNA, 338 nt
Filed under: Hemus finneganae
Lineage: Eukaryota; Metazoa; Arthropoda; Malacostraca; Decapoda; Mithracidae
Description: partial small subunit ribosomal RNA
Source: RNAcentral